UACGUAGGUGGCAAGCGAUACUCGGAAUCACUAGGCGUAAAGCGCAGGUAGGCGGUUUGGUAAGUCUCUUGUGAAAGCUCCCGGCUUAACUGGGAGAGGUCAAGGGAAACUACCAGGCUAGAGUGCGGAAGAGGAAACUGGAAUUCCCGGUGUAGCGGUGAAAUGCGCAGAUAUCAGGAAGAACACCCGUGGCGAAGGCGGCUCUCUGGGACGGUACUGACGCUGAGACGCGAAAGCGUGGGGAGCAAACGGG
RNAcentral lists this ribosomal RNA (253 nucleotides) under uncultured bacterium. Its description in RNAcentral is "partial 16S ribosomal RNA". It matches the Rfam family "Bacterial small subunit ribosomal RNA", at positions 524 to 776 of the family's 1533-position model. The record is from RNAcentral.